Suricata suricatta (meerkat) is the source of this 1734-nucleotide long non-coding RNA. RefSeq lists it as uncharacterized. NCBI's taxonomy places the organism in Eukaryota, Metazoa, Chordata, Mammalia, Carnivora, Herpestidae. The record is from RefSeq and is a predicted model, not a curated record. The transcript is spliced from 2 exons.
GGUCUCGCUCCGCGAGGGCUUGCUUUUUUCUGAUCGUUUGCCGUUGAGAGGGAUCUCGCAGUUGAAUCUCCAGCCCACUGGGAAGCGAUUUCACCUCUCGCUCGAGCUGGCGGACCCAACAUUCAAGAUGGAUGCGGCCUGACCUUAGAUUGGAGCAGUCAGAAUUUUUCCAUGAAGCCAGUGUUACAGGGAAAGACUUCUUCAUAGAGAAUGGAUAUCCUCACCUUAUCUGCUUCCUGCUGACUCUGAUCUACAGGAGGAAGACGUACCUGAUUAGUACACUUGUGAUGAAUGAAUGAGGCAUAAGCAUACUCAAUUCAGCCAUUUUUUUUUAAUCUUUCUAUGUGGUCUUUCUGCUCCUCCAGGCUAGCUUUGCCCCUGUAAGGGCACAUGGGAGGCUUCCCCUCAUCCCGUGUGCCUGUACCCAGGUGAAUAGUCUGCCUAAUUCUUUCGCACAUAUUAGCUGGCCCAGCUCAACUUUUAUCUGCCAAAAUGUCAUGCUUGGACAUCCAUCUGACACUCCUUGCUCUUUUUAAGAAAAUUUGUUCAGAUCCUGAGAUGAUUACAGAGGUGUCAUUUAUUGAGCAUGCUUAAAGGUGUCAAUAGUCAUGACCCGUGUGGUUUUUUUGUUUUUCUUUGUUUUUGUUUUUGUUUUUUGGGGGUUCUUUUUUGUUUGUUUUUAAUCUUUGGAGCUACAUAUUUGCUUUGAUCUUUGGAGUAUUUGCUGGAAGAAUGGAUUCCUAAAACCUGAAAUAGAGUUUUUAAUAAUAAUAUUAAUAAUAACAAUUGCAGCCGACACUUUCUGAUACCAUGCUAAAUGCUUUACUUGCUUUAUCUCAUUUAAUCCUCAUUGCUGUCGUUUUGAUGAACAUAUAAAUUAGCUCUCAGUAAACAAUUGAGAUUUGGGUCUGGCAUCUUUGAGGAGAAUAUCUUCCUUUCUUGACACAGCAUCAGAAAAACAGUACUUGCCUGAAGCAGCAAAGGAUGCCCGCAGAGGGGAGAGGAUUCCAUGCAGUGCCUCCCAGAUCUUUCUCUGGGACUGAAGAACUGUCCCGCCCAGCUUCUGGGAGGCUGUCAGCCCUCCACUCUUCAUUCUGUCGGGGACCGGCAACGGCAAUGGGAGCCAGCAAUAGGCAGUAGUCUGCUCAUCCUUGCUCCAGACAAUGGGGAGCCGUGAAACGCUUUUGCACAAAACUGGAAGACCGUUAUUCUCCCUGCCAUGGCAGAUUUCGCCUACCCUGUUCUUUUCUCUCUUGUUGGUUCAGACCACAUUUCUUCCUUUAUUCAUUCUUUUGUUCGUUCAUCUAUUUGUUCACUCUCCUUCUUUCCUCUUCUCUCCCCCCAUCCCCUCCACCUCUCAUCUAUGAUUUAUUUGAUUAAUAUCUUGCUGACAUUUGUUUUUUGCCUGUUAGUGAAGCCGUCAUCUGGAUCAUUGAGUCUUUCCCCCUUCUGCUUUGACUUGAUCAACAAUUGCAGUUUUAUCCCCUGGUAAAUUAAACCCAAGCCACUGUUGGCAGAAAAACAGCAUUUAAAUGACAGUAUAAGUUAUUUCUCUGUGGAGCUCUCCCCUCCCAACACACACACCAGCCCUCACGUUUAUGAGAUAAUUGGAAAUAAAUCUGAGACCAUAAAAGAUGGAGUGGGUGAAAAAGACGCUAAGAUCAUUUUACAGGAACUCCAUGGGAAUCUCUUGUGACUUUUAACCAUCCUGGGUCAGUAAACUGUAAGAAUGGC